Molecule: small nuclear RNA, 106 nt
Filed under: Sciurus vulgaris (Eurasian red squirrel)
Lineage: Eukaryota; Metazoa; Chordata; Mammalia; Rodentia; Sciuridae
Source: RNAcentral
GUGCUCGCUUCCGCAGCACAUAUACUAAAAUUGGAAUGAUACAGAGAAGAUUAGCAAGCCCCUGUGCAAGGAUGGCAUGCAAAUUCAUGAAGCAUUCCAUAUUUUU